UUGGAGGGCAAGUCUGGUGCCAGCAGCCGCGGUAAUUCCAGCUCCAAUAGCGUAUAUUAAAGUUGUUGCAGUUAAAAAGCUCGUAGUUGAAUUUCGGGAUCAAUUUAUCGGUCGUGCCUACGGUAUGAACUGGUACAAUUGGUUUCUCCCUUCUGACGAAGCAUGAUGUCAUUAAUUUGGUGUCGUGGGGAAUCAGGACUGUUACUUUGAAAAAAUUAGAGUGUUUAAAGCAAGCAUUAGCUUGAAUACAUUAGCAUGGAAUAAUGAAAUAGGACGUUUGAUCCUAUUUCGUUGGUUUCUAGGAUCGACGUAAUGAUUAAUAGGGACAGUUGGGGGCAUUAGUAUUCAAUUGUCAGAGGUGAAAUUCUUGGAUUUAUUGAAGACUAACUACUGCGAAAGCAUUUGCCAAGGAUGUUUUCAUUAAUCAAGAAUGAAAGUUAGGGGAUCGAAGACGAUCAGAUACCGUCGUAGUCUUAACCAUAAACUAUGCCGACUAGGGAUCGGAUGAUGUUAAUUUUUUAAUGACUCAUUCGGCGCCUUACGGGAAAC
This 549-nucleotide ribosomal RNA is filed under the name uncultured Glomeromycotina. RNAcentral describes it as "SSU rRNA". It matches the Rfam family "Eukaryotic small subunit ribosomal RNA", at positions 548 to 1098 of the family's 1831-position model. The record is from RNAcentral. Lineage: Eukaryota; Fungi; Glomeromycota.